AGGGGGAAAGAUCACAAAUGCCUAUAGUCUCAGGGUUCUUAUUGUUGUGAAGAGACACUGUGACCACAGCAAAGGAAAACAUUUAAUUGGGACUGACUUACAGUUUCAUUAGUCCAUUAGUCCAUUAUCCUCAUGGCAGGAAACAUGGCAGCAUGCUUUCAUGGUGCUGAAGAAGGAGCUAAACAUUCUACAUUUUGAUAUGCAGGCAGCAGAAGGAGACUGUGUGCCACACAGGCCAUAGCUUGAGCAUAAGAGACCUCAAAGCCUGCCUCCAAAGUGACACACUUCCUCCAACAAGCCCACACCUACUCCAACAAGGCCCUACCUCCUAAUAGUGACAUAACUAUGUGCCCAACAUUUGAACACACGAGUCUAUGGGGGAUAUAUCUAUUAAAAUUCACAUCUCUUCUUAUAAUUUAAAAUACAUAGAAAAAAGAUGAUGUUAGGACUAACUGGAAUUUGCUAAGGCCAAUUAAAAGAAGGCUACUUUCUCCUGGUAAAGCAAGAUAUUUUAAUGGAUUUUCUUUUAACUUUAUUUUUCUUCUGUCAGUUCUUUUAAAUCUACUGUGUUUCUUGAUAUUUAAUUUUUUAAAAAAAAUCUGAUUUGGUUGGAGAGUGAUUUUUUUCAACUACUGGGAAGAUCUUAAUAUUACCAACUAGCUAGAGAUUUUCUGGUAAAGAAUAAGGAGAGUCAGUCCCUUCCUCUAAGAGUCAAUCCACAUGGGCCCAUCAACCUCCUGGCCAGGAAAACAGCCAGCAGGAAAGCUGCAUCUUCCUAUACAGUUAGGAACAUAGUGUAGAGCCUGCCUAAAUGUGUAUGUAGGCCAAUUGUCUCUUUGGUUAUUACUCACUUUCAACUCUCAACAGUGUGGGCACACAAAAAGAGAGAGACAUUGUGCUGGCUGGUCUUAUGUCAACUUGACACAAGCUAGUUAACUGAAAGGAGGGAACCUCAACUGAGAAAAUGCCUUCAUAAGAGCCUGCUAUAGGGCGUUUUUUUUUUUUUUUUUAGUGAUUGAUGAAAAGGAUCCAGUCACUGUGAGCAGGGCCAUUCCUGGGCUGGUGGUUUUGUGUUCUAUAAGAAAGCAGUCUGAGCAAGCUAUGACGAGCAAGCCAGUAAGCAGCACCCCUCCAUGGCCUCUGCAUCAGCUCCUGCGUCCAGGUUCCUGCCCUGCUUGAGAUUCUGCUCUCACUGCAGGAUGCUGAACUGCUAUAUGGAACUAUGAGCAAAAUAAAGUCUUUUCUCUACAAGUUACUUUGGUCAUGGUGUUUCAACACAGCAAUGGUAACACGAACUAAGACAGGCACUGUCUGCUUCAUAAGAACACAUUUGUUCUUCCUCCUGUAAAAAAGGAUUCUCUAUGUAUAGACUACUGAAUGUGUCAUUUGUUAUGAACUAACCUUUUAUCUAGAUGUCAUCAAAAAGUCUGGUCCAAGAGGAACACAAGCCUCUGUGGCCUUGGCCUUCCCUGCUACUGGAGGAGACUAAAGAGAAAAACAGCAACACCAUACAUCUUAGAGACAAGACUGACCCCCGACUAGGAGCUGUCUGCAGGGCUGUCUGCCUUUGUUGCUCCUCUCUCCACUGGCUAUGGCUGAGAGGCAGACAGAUCAUUAAGGUAUUUUCAGGUUGCAGGCUCUCUGGAUAAAACAGUUGAAAGAUUUUACUCUUGGGUUUUGCAUGUGGCAGUCCGAAUGGCUGGCUGCUUGCACACUCUCACUUUGUGAGAAUGGAUUAUUCCACAAUGGCUCCUCUAGGAACAUGCUUGAGAGUGUCACCUAUCAUUCUGUUAUAAAUGCUACCUAUUCUCUACACCAUGAGUUGUUAGAUUUUUAAGGCAAUAGAGAGACGGGAGUCUGACCUGCAACAGUUGGGACUGUGUUAACACACACAAUGAGGGCAGCCUCUCUCCUGUGGGAAGUUGAGGGGUCUGCCAGGGGAAAAGGCUGACUGUGACCCUUUAUAUUGGUGGGAUGAGUGACUUGAGGAUAAAGAAUGUGAGGAGCUUGGGAAUGAGAAAAUUGGUGGGG
RNAcentral lists this long non-coding RNA (2031 nucleotides) under Mus musculus (house mouse). RNAcentral's name for it is "long non-coding RNA chr16:23600202-23602233". The record is from RNAcentral. Lineage: Eukaryota; Metazoa; Chordata; Mammalia; Rodentia; Muridae.